ACGAACCAAGGAGUGCAACAGUUGUGCGAGUAUUCGGGCGUCAAACCCGGGUGAUGCGCAAUGAAGGUGAAGGCGGGACUAGUGGCCCGCCGAGGCGAGAGCCGCUUCGCGCGGCGCAUCGUCGACCGAUCCGUUGCCACGCUGUGGCGGGAUUCGAGUGAGAGCGUUGCUGUUGCGACCCGAAAGAUGGUGAACUAUGCCUGAGUAGGGCGAAGCCAGAGGAAACUCUGGUGGAAGCCCGCAGCGGUUCUGACGUGCAAAUCGAUCGUCAAACUUGGGUAUAGGGGCGAAAGACUAAUCGAACCAUCUAGUAGCUGGUUCCCUCCGAAGUUUCCCUCAGGAUAGCUGGAGCCCGUUGCGCAGUUUUAUCAGGUAAAGCGAAUGAUUAGAGGUCUUGGGGUCGAAACGACCUCAACCUAUUCUCAAACUUUAAAUGGGUAAGACGUCCGGCUUGCUCAAUCGAAGUCGGGCCACGAAUGCCUGGGCUCCCAGUGGGCCAUUUUUGGUAAGCAGAACUGGCGAUGCGGGAUGAACCGAACGCCGGGUUAAGGUGCCCGAAUCGACGCUCAUCAGAUCCCAGGAAAGGUGUUGGUUGAUCUAGACAGCAGGACGGUGGCCAUGGAAGUCGGAAUCCGCUAGGG
RNAcentral lists this ribosomal RNA (641 nucleotides) under Stelletta clavosa. Its description in RNAcentral is "partial large subunit ribosomal RNA". It matches the Rfam family "Eukaryotic large subunit ribosomal RNA", at positions 661 to 1276 of the family's 3401-position model. The record is from RNAcentral. Lineage: Eukaryota; Metazoa; Porifera; Demospongiae; Tetractinellida; Ancorinidae.